Molecule: long non-coding RNA, 2155 nt
Filed under: Mytilus galloprovincialis (Mediterranean mussel)
Lineage: Eukaryota; Metazoa; Mollusca; Bivalvia; Mytilida; Mytilidae
Source: RNAcentral
UUGAACUGCUGCAAGAUUUGGUUAUCCGACAUUGAUUUUUACAUAUAUCCAUAUGGGUCAAUCAAUUUUUGCCAAAUUAAGUUAAUAGGGGGGUAGGGGGGUCAGUGAAAAAACUAUUUGAAUUAAGUUUUUUAUCCUUCAUUGAACUUUUGAUGUCGUCCCUUAUUGAUAUGUGAAAAACAUUUAUUGAUAUGUGAAGACCAUUUUAUUUUAUUACUCUAGGAAUAGGUGUGUGCUAUGUUAGAUUCACAGUUUUCAUUGAAUUUAUUGCUAUGUUAUUUAUUACACCAUUUUAAUUUAUGAUUUUGACAGUCUAAAAGAAGUCAUACAAUUCAAAGGAUAUACAGCAUGAGAAAAAAUAUCAUUGUGAAAACAGAACCACAAAGAUAUUUUCAUUACAAUCUAGUCACCUAAUAAAUUAUUUAUUUUCUACUAAGUAGAUUAAUGUAAAAGGUUACUUUGAACUCUGUUUACUUUUGACCACGGACACAUAAUAUGUGUAGUACCCCAAAACUGUGCUGGAACUACUCUUAUUAUUGACCAAAGAAAGCCAUACAAUUAAAAUAAAUAUCAUUUUGAUAGCAAAUAUUUUCAUUUUGUUGUGAGAAGUGAGUGAAAUUUGGUAUGUUUAAAGACAAUGUCUUUAAUUCUGUUUUAUUUGCAGUUUGUUUUAUGUCAUAACAUCGAAGAAAAAGGACCCUUUUCAGGCUCCAAAAAAGUUAACUACAAGAGAGAGUUAAUGCAAUACUAACACUUCUUACACUAACUUGUUUUUCAAAAUUUUAUGUCAUAUUUGAUACAAGGAAUUUUAAAAAAAAAAAGUUUGUUUAUGAUACAUUUUAAAAACAGAACAGAUCUUGAGGGGGAAUGUAACAUAUACAAAAAGACAUAAAUUUCAUGGCGUUAUGUUUAAGCAGAGUUCAUUGUUUCCUUAAAACUUUGUUUUGUGCAAUGUAACAUAUUUAAAUUGUUAAAUCCUUAUAACUUUAUAGUAUUAGUUAAGUAUAACCAUUUUAUAGAGUGCCAUUUUGGAAUCUCAUGAGUCUAAAGAUAUAGGACAGAAUGUUGUUAAAUAUAUGUUAGCAUAUAUAGCUGUGAUAGUGUGUACCUUUGAAUAGUUGAAACAUACAGACCAGAGAUUUGACUGAAAAUUGACACGAAAAUUAAAAAAAUAGGAAAACACAAAAAAGAUGAUAGGGACUUCUAAUGACCUUGACUGGCUACAGUCCGUGCAUGGUCACUAAUAAUACAAAAAACUAGAAAUAACACAUCUUGUGUAGUGAUUCAUUGGUUUAUUGGCUAAAAAAAUAUAAUUCUGCAUUACAUUGUCACAAUUCAUUUUCUUUCAAUUUUAUCAAAACACUGAUCUGUGUCCACACUUCUCUUACAUGGAUCUGACAAGACUCUAGUCUACUUUCUGUUUAAUCAACAUUUGGGAUCCUCAGGUUUUCAAAAAAUUGGUUAAAGAAACUUCAUUGGUUAAAUAAACAGGAAGUAAAAUGGAAUGUUGUCAGAUCUUUGUAGCAAAGUGUGGACACAGGACCUGCUUUUUAAGAAGAUUGAUUUUCUUAAAUUUACAUUACUUUAAAAGAUAUCAACAUUUUUUUGAGGCAUUUCAACUUUGUAAAGUAACUUAUUAAAUAAUAAUUUUUCAAGUUGAUACUUUAAAAUUAAUGGGCAUGAGAUGGUAAAUGUUUACUAUUUGAUGCAUAAUUCUGCACAAUAUUAAUUAAAUCCAUAUUAUUUAUUAAUCACCUUGAGUUAAAUAUUGAUAUAUAUUAAACUGUGAUAUGUAUAGAUUUGUACAUAAAUCAUUGUUGCUAGAGAAAGGUGUGUGUUUAUAAAGAAGUUUUUAAUAAACUUAUCUUACAAACUUUUUAUUUAUCAAUUGUUACCUCAACAGAGGACAUUUUUGUCAAGCCUGUAUCAUUUAUGUUGUGAAAGUGAAACAUAAUGAUCUAGAUUCUGUCAUCAGCAGCAUCAACAAUUAGUUUCAGUCUGUGGUGAAAGUUUUUAUUGACAUCAAGAACUUUGUCAAACCUUUGCAGAAUUUUAUGAAGUUCAAAAAUAAAGUAUCCAAAGCAAAAUUUUGAAAAUAUUAUUUUCAUUUUUGGUAUUUUACUAAUAAAUAGACAUUUUUUUUUGUCUGGCCUGC